Molecule: RNA transcript, 11705 nt
Organism: Topomyia yanbarensis
Lineage: Eukaryota; Metazoa; Arthropoda; Insecta; Diptera; Culicidae
Gene: Ctu1
Gene name: cytoplasmic tRNA 2-thiolation protein 1
Exons: 16
Source: RefSeq, a predicted model, not a curated record
UUAAUAGCAAUCAAGGUUGUAAUAUUUUAUUUUACACAAAACAGGUGGGUACAGCGAAACAUAAUCACUGCAAGCGCAACUGCGACCACCGCAAUUGUUAGACAAGCGCUUACAAGCACAAUGUCUCGUGCUCUAGCAUCAGCAAUAACUGCUCCAUGCUCAAGAACAGCAAAUUCAGUAUCCAACCACCCCGGUCUGAACAUCCUGCAUCUGGCAAUCGGCCAAACAUUCUCAACAUUAAGUCGAUCUAAUCACAGCAGUACCACUUUAAAUCCAGCAUCAGCCAACAACUUCAUAAAAGAACCAUAUUACAAUUACAGCGCAGAACCCACAAAUCAACAAUCUUGAUCGCUACCGGUUCCUGCCUUAAAACCAAUUCCAACAGUUUCAUCAAAAGCAACAAACUUCCAUCAUGACAGGAAACACAACGCAACUGAAAUAAGUGAUAUGUGGUGAUCAUAUCUGCAAACGUUUGCAUCUAACUUAUCCAACAUCCACGAUGUGUUUAAUUAAAAAGGAGCUAUUUCAUGUACGGUGGACCCUUCAGGAAAUAUUGUUUAUCAGCCCAUUGUUUCUCACCAGCGGUUGUCCUGAUUUAACGUAAUCCCAACAUUUGUUGCUACCAGCUCCUUGCAUAAAAAUAUCCCUGCCUUGACAGUGCCCGUGAUUCAACCAUCCCAAAAACAGCAAGCAAUCUAUUCCAGUGCUUAUUGCCAAGAUUGCACAAGUUCAGCAGCAGCAGCAGCAGCACCUUCAACAAUAACAGCAGAAAAUUUUCCUAGGCGACAACCAUCAUCCUACAGGUCGGUAAUAAUAACUUUCAAACGACGGUUCUACCUCAGGGUUUGACGCUAAUUAAACAAUCUGGACCGCAACUAGUGCAAACGAUCCAAACAAAUCAAAGAAAACGAAGAUGAUCAUUGGCCAACACCAGAAACAACUACAAAUCAGAAUUAUCACCCAAAUUCAGCCUUGAAACCCGAACGUAAAUUCUAUUUGCUUCAAACACUUAAAAUCCUGAUGAAGAAGAAAUGCUAAUGUUAUUACGCGCACACAUACCUUCUAUGUGUCAACUGUAUAAACUAUGUAUGCACACACAUAAGUUAUAAUGCAACAUAUUAUGUGCGUAUUGUUAUAGAAUCAAGUUUUAUGUGCCUUAUAGUUAUGAAAUGUGAAUGUAAGAUUAAUAUGGAAAAGGAAGAGAGGCAUCACAUUUUGAUCAAAGCGUAGGCUUCCAUAAAUUUCCGCCGGAUUUGAAGUUGCGAAAAGUUUGGAGGGAAUUCGUUGGCGUAGACGUCUCCAAGUUUUGCUGGCGGGGAAAAUAUAUCUACCCGGAACACUUCUUGCACUCGAGCUGAUCGAGGAAAACGGUACGACGAAACUACUAGACAGAGCAACCAGAGCAAAUACCGAUCCACACAUAACCCAACAGCAGCAACAGGGUACCAUGGUCAUCAUCCAUCAUCAGAACGCGAUGGUAGUGAAUCAACAGUUAGCACAACAGCAAGGUAGCUUGGAAAGGACUUUCUGUCGAAAAAAAUAUAAUGAAAGCGCACAUGUUCAAACGAGGCAAACGUAUGACUCGUUUGGAAAAAAGCGCAUGUCAUCUGUUUCAUGGCGUGUAAUCGGGACAACCCUCGAACUAAUCCGGAAAAUGUCACCGUUAAGCUGAUCGAGAGCCAGAUCGAACACCAACAACAUAUCAUGGUAAUCACCCAGCAAGAGAACGCAGUGAUAAUGGGCCAACAGAAAACACAACAUCAAGAUGCUCGGAAAGGACUUUCUCUUUCGAACAAACAUAAUGGCACGUCAUCUUCAAUCGGCUAACCGUUUGGAAUAAGCGCUCAUCAUCGGUUUCAUGGCAGGGAAGUGAGCAGGCAAAAGAAGGCAUCGUUUUUUCCGCAAGGUCGCUCUGGUCAAAAUUUCAGCGAAUUGCAAGGAAUAAACCACCCGAGGGACAGUACCCGUGCUGAUUCAGGACGAUUUCCCAUACUUUGUACCUUGCUAUUGAAUUUUAAUACCCGAUCGAAACGAUGGCAAGCGCUGCCGAUAACUGGGUCAAAAAGACGACGGAUCAAGAAAUUUCUGCACUCGGUUAGCUAACUGAGUACAUAUCAUCAAGGAUAAGGAUUCAGAGCCGGCGGCUGGCAGUCCAGAGAAAGAGAAUGCGGAAAAACCUAGUCCACCGGCAGUAGAACCAAAGCUGCACCUGAUGUUUGGAGUUCGGUAGCUACAGAAAUUCUGACUCUAGCAGCUCCUGAAGAAAAACAAGCUGCAAGAGAAAAUGGAGAAACACCUUCCUCCGCGGAAGAUGCAGAGGCAUUCAACCCGGCGGAUGCAAGUUUGCUAAUGAAAGAUGUUCACUAAGGUCUAGUAGAAUCAAAGCUGGAUCUGAAGGUGCAGCGAAAGGAUUCUUCUUCGCCGGUUGGUUGGUUAAAACUUUCGAAGUUUUGCACGUGAAGCCGGGAUUACUUCAGGGAGUCUAUGCGAUGGGUUUCAACGCCCUUCCAAGAUUUAGGAGAUGGCUCUGUUGGCCCGUCCGCCACGGAAUAUAAUCGCCCAGAGUCAGUCGGGAACAGGAAAAACCGCUGCCUUUGUGCUGGCAAUGCACAGUUGAGUCCAUCAGUUAAAAAACUAUCUGCAGGUGAUUUGCCUUUCCCCCACGUAUGAGCUGGCAAUUCAGAAGGGGGAAGUAGCUGCCAAAAUGGCAAAGUUUUGUCCGGAAAUCAAACUUCCUUACGCCGUUCGCGGUGAGGAGACCGUCAAAGGGGCGAAGCUGACUAAUCAUAUCAUCAUCGGAACACCCGGCAAGCUAAUUGACUGAGGUAUAAUGUUCAGGACGUACGACCUAGUUUUUCCUUUUUGUACUGGACGAGGCGGGUGUUAUGGUCGGUGUUCUUCUUGGCCACGUACGAGCGCGAGGUGAUGGAGUUUGCCGAGUACAUCGUACCCAAUCCGAUCGUCAUUCGGCAGGCGCGGGAGCAAGAAUCACUCGAUAACAUCAAACAGUACUACGUCAAGUUCCGCAACCAGGACGAGAAAUUGUGUGAUUACCGUCGGACAAGCGAUCAUUUUCUGUCAUAUGAUGUAUAGGACAGUUGUAAACGUCCAAGUAAACUUAUUUUCAGAACUGUUAAUCGAUCGAAACAGGUACGAAAAACGGCCGGUUGGUUGACCUGCAGGAUGUCCCAGGAUGGUCACUCGGUAGCGGUACUGUCCGGUAAUCUAACGGUGGAGCAACGGUUGGAACGAACGUUUUGUCCAGGGGUAAGUUCCACCACUUGAUUCUGGCUACAGCACCAGGUUACGGAGAGAUUCUUUCGUCUUAGGUAUCGACGUCGAACAGGUGACCAUUGUCGUCAACUUCGACCUGCCGAUGGAUUAGCAGGGACGAGCCGAUUGCGAAACGUAUCUACAUAGGUUUAGACGCACCGGUAGAUUCGGUAAGUGUGACUCAUUCUUGUGAUCCUAUAGAUUGUAUUUCUUCCCACUUCUUUAACAGAACGGAAUCACCAUCAACCUAGUGGGCAGUGAUCGAAGCAUGAUGAUUUGCAGAUCAAUCAAAAAACACUUCCGGAAAAAGAUUCAGUUGCUAGACGCGGAGAACUCGGACGAAAUUGAAAAGAUCGCACCGUAAAGUGUUUUCGACCAGCUACUGGUCAUACUUGUUUUGAUUCUGAAUUUAUAAUUUUAUAUUUUUUUAAUUUACAAAUGUAACCAACAGGGUAUCGCAAGCUAAUAAAUUUACAAUUACAAUUACAAUCUCUACCCAGUUCUAUCCAAACAUUUGAAAAGGGCCUAACCACAAAAUGUAACAAAUUGAAAUUUCAUGUUUUCCAUUAACAAAUAUCUACCCGAGCACGUACAUAACGCAACAUUUGAUUAUGAAGAAUUUUGAUAGCGAUUUUACAACAAUUUAUAAAAGGGCCUAAUUGAUUUUUAUGACCGAACUGAUUAUGAAAAGACCUAACUGAUUGAAAAGUGCCUAACUAGCAAUACACUCGUUUUAAAUGGAUUAUAACGUAUUAUUGGAUUAUGACUGAUUGUAAAAGGCUUAUAACAUCUUUUCCAUAAUUUACAUACAGGGUCAAUUUGACCAUCAAAUUAGAAUUCAGUUAAUUCGUCUAACUUUCGGUGUAAUAUCAGACUUGAACAGCAUUUUUUGUGUGAGGUAUUCUGCCGCUAGAAGCAAAACUGUCCCAUGUUCUAUGGGAAUCCCUAUACACAUGGGACAAUUAUGCUUCUGGCGGUAGUAAUACAAGUAGUAGCAAUAUGCGCAAUUCCUUAAACCUCUCUAGUGUUUCAUGCAAUAAGAAUUACCACGAAUUACUUAUGACAAUAAAUUUCAAUUACGAUUCUCACAAUUGUUAUACCAAAAAUAGGUUUGUAUCCGUACUGAUUAUUGGUAGCAUUCCCUGAGACUUCCGGAACCUUUAGUAGUAGCCAUUGUUAUCAUAAUCGAUUUUUAACGUAGUUUAAAGCCUAGGGUUUGGUUCGACCUGAAACCGGUUGAGUCGGAGUCGGUUGUUAUAUUUGCGUUAUAUUUCCGGAUUCCGAAACGUGUUUCGAAAGGUAGUUUCCCCGAGACUUGUGAAAGCGGUAAAGGCGGCCAAGGCAAUCAGAUUUGCUUCUUAAUGGUCAAACGCCGAUUUAGACUUACGAUUCGGACAAUUACAAUAGAUUUGGUUUGAGCGAAUCUCGAUCAUUUCCCUGAGUCUUCUAGAACCGGUAGAAGCAGCCAAUUUAGAUAAAAAUUGGCCAGCCAAUGAUUUAAAUUUCCGAUUGCAGGAAUUGUGCUGUCUAAAUUGGUCAGACUGAACUUCCCCGAGACAUCCGGAACCGUCACAAAUAAGCAUUAUGAUUAAUCAUUCUCGAAAUAGGAUUCACGCUGAGUACGUCACUUCCCUGAGAGCUUCAUGAAUGGCAAAUAGGUUUACAAUUGUUACCGAUUUCAUACACAUCCGUGAUGAAUUAAUAAAAUACAUCAUUUAAAACAUUUAAAUGACAACAGAAAUAUAAAAAAGAAAUAAACAAACAACAGCUGAUGUCGUUUUCCAGUUAUCAAAAGCGACAUCUAACAGCAAACACACAGACUAGUUUUCGCGAGCAAAUGUCAAAAUUCCGCACGGAAGAAGGAAAAAUAUUUCGCGACCUCAUUUCGCAAGAGGUGCAUACUAAGCUUUAAGCGGUACGCAGCUCUCGCGAAAAUGAUACCGAAAUUUCCAAUUAGCCGAGACACGGUUCGACAAACAAUAAGUUUCAUAUUGCUUCCGCGAGAUUGCGCUGCUUUCUAUGCGCUGUCACUACGGCAAGCUUUUUCCUUGCGAAAUAAUGAUCAGUGGUAUUAUUCCGUUCGGAGGCUUGCGAAAUUUUGACAGAAUGCGAUAAAAAAAUACAAAAAAAAACAAGAUUUGUGAAUUUUUUGUAUUUUUUCAUCACAAGCUGUCAACAUGUAUAGAAUUUGCUUUUGCGAUGCAAUCGGUCGAAACGAUGGCAAGUGCUGCUGAUAACUGAGUCAAAAAGGCAGAGGAUCAGGAAAUUUAUGCUCUCGUAAGUGCCUAAACUGUUUUUGGAGCGAUCAUUGUUUCAUAGGAUUUGUAUUUUUCUUUUCAAUACAAAAGGUAGCGAUCCGAGUAUCACCAAGGAUAAGAAACCGGAGCCGGCGGUUGGCAGUCCGGAAAAAGAGGAUGCGGAAAAACCUAGUCCAUCGGCAGUAGAACCAGCGACGUAGAAACGGCUGCACCUGCAGUUUUGAGUUCGUUAAUUAUGGAAAUUCUGACUGGCUGCUCUUGAAGAAAGACAAGCUGCUAGUGGAAAUAGAAAAACAGCUUCCUACACGGAAGAUGCAGAUGCAUUCAACCCGGAGGAUGCAAAAAAACUUUCGAAGCUUUGCACAUGAAGCCGGAACUGCUUCAGGGAGUCUAUGCUAUGGAUUCCAACGCCCCUUCCAAGAUUCAGGAAACGGCUCUACCUACUCUGUUGGCCGAUCCGCCCAGCACAUGAUCGCCCAGUCAGUCAGAAACAAGAAAAACCGCUGCUUUCGCGCUGACAAUGCUCAGUCGAGUCGAUCCGUUAAAAAAACUAUCCGCAGGUGAUUUGCCUUUCCCUUACGUAUGAACUGGCAAAUCAGAAGGGGGUAGCAGCUGCCAAAAUUACAAAGUUAUGUCCGGAAAUCAAAUUUAGUUACCUCAUCCGCGGCGAGGAGAUUGUCAAAGGGGCGAAGCUGAUUAAUCAUAUCAUCAUCGAAACACCCGGUAAGCUGAUGGACUGGAAUAUAAAAUUCAGGCGUUCGACCUUGAGAAAUUGCCGUUUGUGUACUAAACGAAGCGGGCGUUAUGAUCGCUGUUCUUGGCCACGUACGAGCGGGAGGUAAUGGAGUUCACCGAGUACAUCUUACCCUAUCCGAUCGUGAUUCAGCUAGCGCGGGAGCAAGAAUCACUAGAUAACAUCAAACAGCACUACAAUAAGUACCGCAACCAGGACGAGAAAUAUCAAGCAAUUUCGAUCAUCUUUGGCGUGAUUACCAUCGGAUAUGCGAUCAUUUUCUGUCGUGUGAGUAUAGGACAGUUGUGAUUGGCAUUGUUAAUCGAUGGAAACAGACACGCAAAACGGCCGAUAGGAUGGUCAUUCGGUAGCGGUACUGUCCGGUGAUUUAACGGUGGAGCAAUGGUUUGCCGGUCUGAAUCGAUUCCGAGCCGGACUAAAGAAGGUAUUGAUUACAACGAACGUUUUGUCUUGGGGUAUCGAUGUCGAACAGGUGACCAUUGUAAACAUCAUCCUGUCGAUGGAUCAGUAGAGACGAGCCGAUUGCGAAACGUAUCUGCAUCGAAUUGGACGCACCGGUAAAUUCUGCAUCGCCAUCAACCUGGUGGGCAGUGAUCGAACCAUGAUGAUUUGCAGAUCAUUCGAAAAACACUUCCAGAAAAAGAUUCAGCUGCUAGACGCGGAGAACUCGGACGUUAUUGAAAAGAUCGGAUCGUAGUGUUUUCGACCAGCUACUGGUGAAAGGCGCUGGAGCUUUUUUGGUUCAUUAUUGUUCCGAUUGUGAAUCUAUAACUUUAUUUAGCUCUAUCAGUUGAUUUCCUUAGGAUUUAAUUCAAGGAUCGGUAACGCGAGGAUUGUGAAGUGCAUGUUUAAUUGUUAUAACUUGGAGUUAAGUGAACCACAGAUAACAGACGUUUAAGCUCGAUUUGAAUCGUGUAUAAAAACCCGCUACUGAAAUUCCGAAUAAAUUAGACGUCUGAAACACGUUUGGCAAACGUUUGCAGAUGACGCAGUGAUCAAUACAAUGCAGUUAGAGUGCAGCUGUUAAACACGUGUAGCAAACAGUUGCGCAGAUGGCAAUAGUGAAACACGGAUUUCCAACGUUUAUCAAUUUGAAAGUUUACACAGGUUUUUGAAGAAAUUUUGUUCUAGCCUAAACGUCUGUUAUCUGUGGGUAAACUCUUGAAGAAAACGACUUUGUUUUUUUUAUUUUGUCGUUGGACGGCCAGUAGAGUAAAGUGGCAAGAAUUUUUCCAAAACACCUUGAAGAAGAAGAUGAAAAAUAUUUUGUUCAAUACCAUGUAAAUAAAUAUUUCAGGAAGAUAGAACAGACAGCUAUAAAACAGCAAAAAAAUCUAAAAGAAAUUAUAUAUGCUUCGAAGCGAUUUUCAUCGUUGGCGCCGUUUCCGUCGUCGUCAUCCUCAGCAAGUUGUUCCUUCUUAACAUCGAGUUCCACCAAUUGAUCGUCCUGUGUCAUCUCCUUUUGAUAGCCCAAGAACGAAUCACUCUUAUCCUGUUCCUGCUCAUGCUCCUUUCCACGAUCCUCGAGUGUAUCGAAACGACCGGCGAUGACAACAAACACUUUACACUUGGGUCACUUCCAUGCAAUUCGCCCUCGCUGAUCAACCGAUCCGAUGGGUACCGGUAGCAACUGUGCACGACAAACAGCUGACCCCGCUUGCCCGGAAUCAGUUUUGAGUCUAGUUAUGUAAGGAAUGCAAACUAGGCUCGAUGGAACCUUGCCAGUCCUGGAUAUCACACACAUUUGGAGCAACAUCAGAUGUUUUUCAAGCCGUUCUCAACUCCUAUACGGCAGUUUUCACGCCGCCACCCGCGUAACGGCUUGAUAGUUGAUAUUCGAGCUUGUAGAACCAUUUGGGCGUACCAUAUAUGAGCUCCGACGGAAAUUGAGGAUGAAAUAGAUCUCUUCUAUGAGACAGUCGUCCGACGGUGUCGAAAGGCCGCAAGAGAUGAGCAGCGGUAAACUAGUUAUUCAAGAUGGGAAUGAGACACUUAAUUACCACCAUUGAAAUGAAAUCUCACACCCGAACAAAGCAAAUCAGCUGAACUAAUCUUGUCUCAACAUCCUGGAUCUGGCAAUCAGCCAACCAACAUUAAAUCGAUACAACCGCAGCAGUACCAACUACUCCAAAUCCAGCAACAGCCAACAACCCCUCAAAACCACAUAGCAAUUACUGCUCAAAUGAACAACAGGAGUUUACGAAUGAUGGACACAUCGGAAAACAUUUCAUCGGCACAUUCUGCCUUAAAACUUGUCUGCCACUAUUUUUACCAGCGGUUGCCUUCCUGAUUUAGAGAAAUCGGAUUCAAGCACAAACGUCACAUUCCAGCCUUGGUUCCUACCAGUUCCUUGCAUGAAAAUAUCACUGCCUCCACAGUGCUCGUGAUUCCAUUCCAGCAGCACCAAGCAAUCACUAGUCGAGUGCUUAUCGCCAACAUUUCACAGCAAGCUCAGUAGCAGAACCACCUUCAACCACAACAUCAGAAAAUUAAGAUUUCUUCCAGACCAUGACCAUCAUCCUAAAGGUCGGUAGCAAUAACGUUCAACCGACGGUACAACCUGGUCAGCAACCGCAAUUAGUGCAAUAGAUCCAAGCCAAAUGUAGAAGACCAUUGACCAACUGCAAAAAAAGAUAGCAACAGCACAUUCAAACACAGCAGCAGCAGCAUACUAUACUGUACCAUGCGGUGUGCAGGAGGACUUUUUUAUUCAGUUGGUGCGGCAAGAUCGAACACCAACAACAUAAUAUCAUGGUAAUCACCCAGCAAGAGAACGCAGUGAUAAUGGACCAACAGAAAACACAACAUCAAGAUGCUCGGAAAGAACUUUCUCUUUCGAACAAACAUAAUGGCACGUCAUGUUCAAUCGGCUAACCGUUUGGAAUAAGCGCUCAUCAUCGGUUUCAUGGCAGGGAAGUGAGCAGGCAAAAGAAGGCAUCGUUUUUUCCGCAAGGUCGCUCUGGUCAAAAUUUCAGCGAAUUGCAAGGAAUAAACUACCCGAGGGACAGUACCCGUGCUGAUUCAGGACGAUUUCCAAUACUUUGUACCUUGCUAUUGAAUUUUAAUACCCGAUCGAAACGAUGGCAAGCGCUGCCGAUAACUGGGUCAAAAAGACGACGGAUCACGAAAUUUUUGCACACGGUUAGCGAACUGAGUACAUAUCACCAAGGAUAAGGAUUCAGAGCCGGCUGGCAGUCCAGAGAAAGAGAAUGCGGAAAAACCUAGUCCACCGGCAGUAGAACCAAAGCUGCACCUGAUGUUUGGAGUUCGGUAGCUACGGAAAUUCUGACUCUAGCAGCUCCUGAAGAAAAACACGUAUGAGCUGGCAAUUCAGAAGGGGGAAGUAGCUGCCAAAAUGGCAAAGUUUUGUCCGGAAAUCAAACUUCCUUACGCCGUUCGCAGUGAGGAGACCGUCAAAGGGGGGAAGCUGACUAAUCAUAUCAUCAUCGGAACACCCGGCAAGCUAAUGGACUGGGGUAUAAAGUUCAGGACGUACGACCUAGUUUUCCCUUUUUGUACUGGACGAGGCGGGUGUUAUGGUCGGUGUUCUUCUCGGCCACGUACGAGCGCGAGGUGAUGGAGUUUGCCGAAUACAUCGUGCCCAAUCCGAUUCGGCAGGCGCGGGAGCAAGAAUCACUCGAUAACAUUAAACAGUAUAACGUCAAGUUCCACAACCAGGACGAGAAAUUGUGUGAUUACCGUCGGACAAGCGAUCAUUUUCUGUCAUAUGAUGUAUAGGACAAUUGUAAACUCCAAGUAAACUUAUUUUCAGAACUGUUAAUCGAUCGAAACAGGUACGCAAAACGGCCGGUUGGUUGACCGGCAGGAUGGUCACUCGGUAGCGGUACUGUCCGGUGAUCUAACGGUGGAGCAACGGUUGGAACGAACGUUUUGUCCAGGGGUAAGUUCCACCACUUGAUUCUGGCUACAGCACCAGGUUACGGAGAGAUUCUUUCGUCUUAGGUAUCGACGUCGAACAGGUGACCAUUGUCGUCAACUUCGACCUGCCGAUGGAUUAGCAGGGACGAGCCGAUUGCGAAACGUAUCUACAUCGCAUUAGACGCACCGGUAGAUUCGGUAAGUGUGACUCAUUCUUGUGAUCCUAUAGAUUGUAUUUCUUCCCACUUCUUUAACAGAACGGAAUCACCAUCAACCUAGUGGGCAGUGAUCGCAGCAUGAUGAUUUGCAGAUCAAUCGAAAAACACUUCCUGAAUUGCUAGACGCGGAGAACUCGGACGAAAUUGAAAAGAUCGCACCGUAAAGUGUUUUCGACCAGCUACUGGUCAUACUUGUUUUGAUUUUGAAUUUAUAAUUUUAUUAUAUUUUUUUAAUUUUUUUUUCUUCCUUGACCUGACAUACACACUUAAUCUUGUUCUACCGAAUCCCAGCUUUUUUCGCUACUUUUACCGAAUUUUACACAGCCGAGCACUCAGCUAACAAUGCUUUUACCGAGAUCUCAGUAGAAGUGACGUUUGUUUUGUAUAAACUCGGUAAAUAUAUCGCUGAAAAUCAGUAAAUUUACGCCACUUUGCUGAGCUAUCAGUUGAAAAAUUUUACUGACUGUUCAGCUGUGCGGAAAUUACCGAACUGAAUUGAGUGUGUAAGGUAUACAAAUGUACCCAACAGGGUAUCGUAAGCUAAUAAAUUUACAAUUACAAUUUAUCUCUACCCAGUUCUAUCCAAACAUUUGAAAAGGGCCUAACUACAAAAUGUAACAAAUUGAAAUUUCAUGUUUUCCAUUAACAAAUAUCUACCCGAGCACGUACAUAACGCAACAUUUGAUUAUGAAGAAUUUUGAUAGCGAUUUUACAACAAUUUACAAAAGGGCCUAAUUCAUUUUUAUGACCGAACUGAUUAUGCAAGGACCUAACUGAUUGAAAAGUGCCUAACUAGCAAUACACUCGUUUUAAAUGGAUUAUAACGUAUUAUUGUAUUAUGACUGAUUGUAAAAGGCUUAUAACAUCUUUUCCAUAAUUUACAUACAGGGUCAAUCUGCCCAUCAAAUUAGAAUUAAGUUAAUUCGUCUAACUUUCGGUGUAAUAUCAGACUUGAACAGCAUUUUUUGUGUGAGGUAUUCUGCCGCUAGAAGCAAAACUGUCCCAUGUGCUAUGGGAAUCCCUAUACACAUGGGACAAUUAUGCUUCUUGCGGCAGUAAUACAAUUAGUAGCAAUAUGCGCAAUUCCUUAAACCUCUCUAGUGUUUCAUGCAAUAAGAAUUACCACGAAUUACUUAUGACAAUAAAUUUGAAUUACGAUUCUCACAAUUGUUAUACCAAAAAUAGGUUUGUAUCCGUACUGAUUAUUGGUAGCAUUCCCUGAGACUUCCAGAACCUUUAGUAGUAGCCAUUGUUAUCAUAAUCGAUUUUUAACGUCAGCCAAAGUUUAAAGCCUAGGGUUUGGUUCGACCUGAAACCGAUUAA